GAAUCUUCCACAAGAGCGAAAGCAUGAAGGAGCGACACCGCGUGCAGGAAGAAGGCCUUAGGGUUGUAAACUGCUGUCACGCUAUAGGAAACCAUGGGGGUUAACAGCCGUCAUGCUGACUAAAGCGAGAGGAAGCGCCGGCUAACUCCGUGCCAGCAGCCGCGGUAAUACGGAGGGCGCAAGCGUUGUUCGGAUUCACUGGGCAUAAAGGGCACGUAGGCGGCUCAGUAAGUCGGAUGUGAAAUCCCACGGCUCAACCGUGGAACUGCAUUCGAUACUGCUGAGCUCGAGAUCGGAAGGGGUAAGCGGAACUCCAGGUGGAACGGUGAAAUGUGUAGAUAUCUGGAGGAACACCGGUGGCGAAGGCGGCUUACUGGUCCGAUUCUGACGCUGAGGUGCGAAAGCUAGGGUAGCGAACGGGAUUAGAUACCCCGGUAGUCCUAGCCGUA
Molecule: ribosomal RNA, 449 nt
Filed under: uncultured marine bacterium
Lineage: Bacteria
Description: bacterial SSU rRNA
Rfam family: Bacterial small subunit ribosomal RNA
Source: RNAcentral